Molecule: non-coding RNA, 810 nt
Organism: Peromyscus maniculatus bairdii (prairie deer mouse)
Lineage: Eukaryota; Metazoa; Chordata; Mammalia; Rodentia; Cricetidae
Source: RefSeq, a predicted model, not a curated record
CUUACAAACAAAAGCAGAUGUCUCCUUCUCGGGGAAACUUCUCCUGGACAAAGUCCCAGCUAUCAGUUAUUCAACCAAGCUUGGCCAGUGUUUCCAGUCCUCAAUACUUCCCCUGAGUCAGGACGCGAUUGGUGUCACUGCUGUCCCUGAUGAAAGAGCCCCGAUAGCUCUACUUGAUGAAGACUGCAUCCGCGUGGCAAGACCGAUCCUGCUCGCCAUCUGGAUUUCUGACCCCUUGUCUCAAUGAGCUCCUUCCACACCCCAGCUCUGGGUCAAGACUGCUGCUUCGGCUUUGUCCGUUCAUCUAGAUUCUGAUGUCCUGGAAGGUUGAACCCAGCUCUCUGACCAAUGUGGGAUGUCGGCCUACUUCAGGGUCUCAACCAAAAGGCCCUUGGCUGUAGGGCUCUAUCUGGUCAGUAGGGGGACCACGCAGCAGUAGGAUAAGCUGAUAAAUUCAAUACAUCUUCCUCCCCGGAACACCCUCAACCGUCAUUAACCGCCACUAACAACCAUGGGGACCUGGUGAAGGACGUGUAUGGAUUAGUGGAGAGCCACUCAUGGUCUGAAGAACAACUCCUAACGUAUGGAAUAAGGAACAAGGGUUCACCUUAUAUGCCUCCCUCUCCAAGUCACCACUUCCGGUGCCACCUUGCCCCUCUCUCAUGAGGACCGGCUUACCCCCUCCUAGAGUAUAACCAUGUGGCCUGUGUCAUUAUCUUCUGUCUUGUGGACAUCACAUCUCAGCAUCCAGCACAUCACAUCUCAGCAGCCAGCACAUCACAUCUCAGCAUCCAGCACGGCAGGUGACAG